Antechinus flavipes (yellow-footed antechinus) is the source of this 3062-nucleotide long non-coding RNA. RefSeq lists it as uncharacterized. Lineage: Eukaryota; Metazoa; Chordata; Mammalia; Dasyuromorphia; Dasyuridae. The transcript has 3 exons. The record is from RefSeq and is a predicted model, not a curated record.
UGAAUUUGGGAGUUCUGAAUAUGUCUCUGAUACUUAUUAGCUCUGUGACCACUGCCAGGAAAUUUUUAACCACUUUAAAUUUCAGUCUAUUCAUCUGUGAAAUGUGCCUAAUAGUGCCUAAAGUACUUAUACUACAUAGUUUUGUGAGACUCAGAUAAUGUAUAUGUAAUAAAUUUAAAUAGUUAUUUAAAUUUCACAUUAUUAUUAUGACUAAGAAUAAUGCAUUUACAUAGAUAUUAAUAACAAUACUAUUAAUGUGAGGGAUUGCCUAUCAAUUAGGGAAAGGCUAAACAGUUGUGAUAUAUGACUAUGACAAAAUCCUACUGUGCUAUAAGAAAUAAGGAACAGCUAAAUCAUUACUGAUUAGAGAAAUGCAAAUUAAGACAACUCUGAGAUACCACUAUACACCUCUCAGAUUGGCUGUGAAGGAAAGAUAAUGAUGAAUGUUAGAGUGGAUGUAGGAAAACAGGAGCACUAAUACAUUUUUGGUGGAGUUGUGAACAGAUCCAACUAAUAUGGAGAACAACAUGGAACUAUGUUCAAAAGUUAUAAAACUGUGCAUAUGCUUUGAUCUAGCAGUGUCUCUAAUGGGACUGUAUCCCAAAUAGAUCACGAAAAAGGGAAAAAGAUCCACAUAAGUGCAAAUGUUUGUGGCAGCCCUUUUUGUAGUAGCAAGGAACUGGAAACUGAAUGGAUGCCCAUCAGUUGGAGAAUGGCUGAAUAAGUUAUGGUAUAUUAAUGUUAUGGAAUAUUAUUCUAUAAGAAAUGAUCAGCAGGAUGAUUUCAGAAUGGCCUGGAAACUUAAAUGAAUCUAUGAUAAGUGGAGUAGAACCAAGAGAACAUUACACACAGCAACAACAAUAUUAUAUGAUGAUCAAUUCUGAUGGUCGUAGCUCUUUUCAACAAUGAAGUAAUUCAGGCCAGUUCCAAUGGUCUUGUGAUAGAGCGGACUCUGGGGACUGAGUGUGGAUCACAACAUAUUUUCACUUUUUUGGUUAUUGUUGUUGGCUGGCCUUUUGUUUUCUUUCUCAUUUUUUUUUCUUUUUGAUCUUAGUUUUCUUUUGCAGUACAACAAUUGUGAAAAGAUGUAUAAAAGAAACAUAUGUUAAACAUAUGUUUGAUUACUUGCCAUCUAUGGGAGGGAAAUCAGGGGAAGGAAAGCAGGAAAAAAAUUUUGGAACACAAGGUUUUGCAAGGAAGAAUAUAGAAAACUGUACAUGUGUUUUGAAAAUAAAAAGCUUUAUUAAAAAAAAGAAAAAUGAGUAGCAGGAUAACUUAUAUGAACUGAUGCAAAAUGAAAUAAGCAGAAUCAGGAGAAUACUGUACUCAGUACCAACAAGACUAUAUGGUGGUCAAGUGCGAAUGAUUCAUUCUCAAUAAUAUAACGAUCCAACACAAUUCCAAAGGACUCAUUAUAAAAAUGCUAACAAUCUCCUAAGAAAGAACUAAUGGAGAUUGAAACAUACCUUUUAAAUUUUUAUUAUUUUUUUUAAAUCUGUGACUUCUUUUGCAACAUGGCUAAAACGGAAAUGUUUUGCAUGAUUGCAUACAUGUAAUCUAUAUAAAAAUUGCUUGUCUUUUCAAGGUGGAGGGGAGGAAAGAGAAUAUGGAACUCAAAUUUUUUUUAAAGUUAAAAUUUUAAUUUUUUUUCACAAUUACUUUUAACAUUUUAAAAAUAUUUCUAUAAUAAGUGAGCAAUAAAUGACAGUCAUAAGAAAAGAUUUAACCUAUAAAACUACACGAAAAAUUGUUGUUGCUAAAGAGAAAAUCUAUAUUUUCCAGUGUCUUCAAAAAAUAAACAUGAUAAGCAGGACACUUUAACUAAAAUUUAAUUGAUUCCCAAUGAUAUUCAAUUAAGAAAAGUGCAAUGCUUGAAUGAUGAGAAUUCUUAUUCCUAAUUGUGGAAAUUGCUUCCCAUUCUAUAUUGUUGUUCUGUGGAUCCAGUUCUAUCCAUAUUUAACUUUGCUCUGUUAGUGAAGAAAUUUUGCAUGUCCUAAUCCCCAGGAAUAAAUGGUUGUCCCUAGUAAUGCUACAGCUGCAUAUGAACAAACCCAGCCUAUUGCUUUUCUGGUUCAGACUUUACCUGUGCAAAAACACUUUGUCUAGCAACAUCUAAUAUUCAUAAAGCAUUUACUAUCUGCUAAGUGCUUUAUAAAUAUUAUGUCAUUUGACCAUUUGGUAAUCCCUCUUUUCAUACUUUGCCUCUUUGGGAGCUCUUAUAUGUGGAAACUCCUACACUUGGAACAUUCCAGGCUAGAAGCUUCCAGUUUCAUAACUCAUUGGUAUCUUCCUGACUGUGACCUCAUGUGUGUGAAACCAAUCAGAUCUGUCUGAGCAGGACCACUCCCCUCUCUUUAAACAUCUGGGGUACCUUUCAGCUGAGCAGGCUAUCUUGAACACAGAUUCAGAAAUCCUCCAGCAUCAUGUGUCCCUUCUUCCAGCCAUGGCUUGAAGAACAUCGUACUCUAGACUGCCUGUGUCAAUGAUAAACAUUUGAAGAAAGAUCAAAAGGAAGAACAGUACUUGCUCAUGAGUCAACAUUUAUUGCAGAAGAUGAUAAGGUAAAGAAAUUCUGAGAAGAACUUGAUAUGACUUCCUGAGUUAAAUCAAAUACACUUUACUAUUCAGUGACUUCAAUGUAAAGGAAAUGAUGAAGAUGGUGUUUUGAGAAAAACCUCAGAAGACUUAUAUGAAGUGAUGCACAGUGAAGUGAGCAGAAUCAGGAAAAUAAUAUACAGUAAAAUAGUUUAUAGAAUAACAACAUUAGAAAAAUAAACAGCUUUGAAAACCUUUGUAACUUUUAGUAACUACGAAUCCAGAACUAUGAUGAAACAUGCUACCCACCUACCUUGAUAGAGAAGUGAUGGACCAAAUUUUCAGAUUGAAGCUUCUUUCUUUUUUUGAUUUAGCUAAAGUGAGAAUGUUUUUUCUUCACUAUACAUAAUUGUAAUAUUUUGUUUUUCUUGGUGCAAUGGGUACAAGACCCGGUAAAUGUGAAGGAGAAAGUUUGGAACCAAAAGUAAAAGUAAACAAUUUUCUCUAUAUUCAAGACAUAGAUGAAA